GCUGACCUCUUCAGCUUCAUGGGGUAUCCCGCAUUGCGAAGACUGUUUCCGGGGUGAAAAGGUUUGGUAAAGUGACGCUAGAGCGACAAGGUUAUUUCAUUGCGAAAACGUGAGCUAUGAGGGAAAAGCACGGUCUUCCUACCGGCAUCUUUAAGGGAAUUACUUCUGAAACAGCAGCAGCAGCGGUCACUUUAGACUGACAGCUAUGGAUGACUUUUGAAGUCAGCAUGGGACAGCCCUCUGACACUGUAGAAGCAGGCAGAAGGAUCAUGUUCUUCUACAUGAAAUUGUAAAAAGUCAAAGUGUACUUUGAGUGAAUAGCUUUUUAAUCUGCUUGCUAUGGCGAGCCCAGUGGUAGCAGUUAACCAUUUACUGCGAGGAAUUGCUGGAAGUUUCAGAGGGCAACAUACAUCUGUGCUGUGGAGGCCCAGAGUAUUGUGUAACUGCAUACUACAUAGAAAAAUGUCAUCAAGAAGAAAAGUUGACCAUCUAGAGAGGACUGCACACAAUCUGAGGCAUGAGGUUAUUUCUCAAGCAACAAUAUGUGGGAUUACAAAUGAAUCUGACAGAGUCAAAAGGAUUCGCCUAGCAGUAGCAAAUAAGGAAUUUACUUUUAAAGCAGGG
Polypterus senegalus (gray bichir) is the source of this 624-nucleotide long non-coding RNA. RefSeq lists it as uncharacterized. The record is from RefSeq and is a predicted model, not a curated record. NCBI's taxonomy places the organism in Eukaryota, Metazoa, Chordata, Cladistia, Polypteriformes, Polypteridae. The transcript has 5 exons.